GCAUGCUGUUGACGAUUAAAGAUCUAGCAAUGGAUAAUACGAUGAAUGUGCUCGCGUGCCGCUGGGUGUGCAGCUGUGAUGAUAUGCAUUCUUACGCAGUUCAUCUGAGGCAAGC
This 115-nucleotide small nucleolar RNA is filed under the name Leersia perrieri. RNAcentral's name for it is "snoRNA snoZ188". It matches the Rfam family "Small nucleolar RNA Z188". From Rfam's summary of the family: Z188 is a member of the C/D class of snoRNA which contain the C (UGAUGA) and D (CUGA) box motifs. The record is from Rfam by way of RNAcentral. Lineage: Eukaryota; Viridiplantae; Streptophyta; Magnoliopsida; Poales; Poaceae.